UGACGAUAAAAUUGUUGGCCAAUUCAACGUUUUGUAUUGUGUAUAUUUUCUUUUGCUGUUUUAUGAUUUUGUAAAUAUUCUGUGAAUUUGGCCUUGUUUUGCGCAAUGUUAAUACACUUAGUAAAGUUAUUUGAAUAACGGAAAGUUUAUAUUCGAGGAAGAAUAAUUUAGCAUUUGCAGCAAGAUAUUUUAAAAAUUUUGAGGAGUUGAUGAAGAUACACAAGUGAACUGAGAUGAUAAGGCUUUACCGUUAGAUAUUCUUAUGAUUUUUUUACUUUCGACAACCGAAGCCCGCGAUGCAUUCAAGACCGGACAACGGAUUUGGCGCCGGGGACGGAGGCGCGACGCAGGGCUCGGACGAGCUCAAGAGUAGCCCAGGCGCGAAGAACAGGAACGGAGCCAGCAACGGCGACAGAGCCACCGAGAGCACCAACCUCAACGCUCAGACCUACUUCGCCGAGACGAGAAUUCCCAUUCCGGAGAUCGAAAGCGGUGCUUUUAGUUGGAGAAAAUUAUGGGCUUUCACCGGUCCUGGAUUUUUAAUGUCUAUUGCUUACUUGGAUCCCGGCAAUAUAGAAUCCGACUUGCAAUCGGGAGUCGAGGCAAGCUACAAGCUCUUAUGGGUUUUGCUGAGCGCGACGAUAAUGGGACUGCUCAUGCAAAGGCUCAGCGCUCGCUUGGGCGUCGUGACGGGUCUUCAUCUGGCUGAGAUGUGCCAUCGCCAGUACAAAAAGUUGCCAAGAUUCUUACUGUGGAUCAUGACUGAAAUAGCGAUCAUAGGUAGCGAUAUGCAAGAGGUCAUUGGCACGGCCAUUGCUCUUUUCCUUUUAACUGGAGGACGGCUUCCAAUUUGGGGAGGUGUUAUUUUCACGAUCGUCGAUACUUUUACGUUCUUGUUCUUGGACAAGUACGGUCUUCGAAAGUUGGAACUGUUCUUCGGUUUCCUAAUCACGGUCAUGGCUGUGACAUUCGGAUUCGAGUACAUCACUGCUGCUCCACCCCAAGGAGAAAUACUCAAAGGAAUGUUCUUCCCUUGGUGUAAAGAUUGCAGUAGUGGUGCUUUAACUCAAGCCGUGGGUAUAAUAGGAGCUGUAAUAAUGCCCCACAAUUUAUAUUUACACAGUGCUCUUGUCAAGUCUCGUGAUAUCGACAGGAGACAGCCAAAGAAAGUUAAAGAAGCAAACAUGUAUUAUUUCAUAGAAGCUACUAUCGCCUUAUUAGUUUCUUUUGUAAUCAAUGUGUUCGUAGUAUCUGUUUUUGCAAACGGUCUUUUCGAAAAAAAGCCAUCAGAUAUUCUUCAACUCUGCGAGGCCAACCAUUUCCAAGAAGGUAUUGAUAUCUUCUCGAACAUGACUGAUGCUCAAGGGCUUGAAGUAGAUUUAUACAAAGGAGGUAUCUUCUUGGGUUGUAAAUUUGGUUUCAUUGCCAUGAUUAUUUGGGCCGUUGGUAUUUUGGCAGCUGGUCAAUCAUCUACUAUGACUGGCACGUACGCCGGUCAGUUUGCUAUGGAAGGAUUCUUGAAUUUACAGUGGGCCAGGUGGAAGCGGGUUCUUUUCACUAGGACAAUAGCUAUUGUGCCAACAUUAUUCGUCGCCUUGUAUGCUGAAUUUGGUCAGCUGACUAAAAUGAACGAUAUUCUUAAUGCUGUUAUGAGUAUUCAGUUGCCAUUUGCAGCUCUACCAACAAUUGCCUUUACUAGCAGUGUCGCAAUUAUGGGUGAAUUCAGAAAUGGAUUAUUCAAUAAAAUUGUAGCCACAAUUUUAUCUCUCCUAGUCAUAUCUAUAAAUAUUUAUUUUGCAUAUGAUAAGGUUUCUGAUAUGGGAACACUGGGAAAAACAUUAAUCUGCAUUUAUGCAGUUUUGUAUCUGAUAUUUUGUUUAUACCUUGUGAUUCAUAUGGCUAUCUGUAUGGGAGCAACUUCUCUUAAGGACUAUCCCAUUAUUGAAAAGUAUGUUGGUGGCCCAGUAGAAACAAUUUUAAAUGUUUCCCACCCUAUCGCUUAUUCUAGUUUCAACAAUACAUCUGAAACCUCGCUGGAUACCUAAAGAUCUGAAUAGUACCACGUACACGACUCAUGCUAAAAUAGUAAAAAUACAAAUGCAAUCGUGGUUUAGGGAUUCAGAAAUUCAUUGUCAUCCAUGGUCACAUAGUCUUCAUAUUGUUCGCAUGAAGGAAUCCGGUAUUCUGUGAUGAUGAAGGAGUAAACGGAACUUUCAAGUUACGCAACAGUGUUGCUUUAUCCUAAAUUGAAUUGAU
Molecule: unclassified non-coding RNA, 2256 nt
Filed under: Trichogramma pretiosum
Lineage: Eukaryota; Metazoa; Arthropoda; Insecta; Hymenoptera; Trichogrammatidae
Description: protein Malvolio-like, transcript variant X1
Source: RNAcentral